RNAcentral lists this long non-coding RNA (465 nucleotides) under Manacus vitellinus (golden-collared manakin). RNAcentral's name for it is "lncRNA (ENSMVIG00005007274.1)". The record is from RNAcentral. Lineage: Eukaryota; Metazoa; Chordata; Aves; Passeriformes; Pipridae.
AUUUCUAUGAAUAGAACUUGGAGGAGUUGUGGAAGAUUUGCAGAUCCUGUAGUUUUGCAGUUGAAGCUGAUGACCAGCAGCUGACUACAGGUCUGGAGGCUGAGGAGCAAGUGGGAUGACUCUGAGCUGUCCAAGGGAGAUCUACAAGCAACUAGCAAGUUUUCCUUCUAUCUCUGCAAACUGCAUCCCUGAAAAUUAAUUACAGAAAUACACAGCAACUGAAUGUCAAGAUGAUGUCUAUAUUUCAUGUGCAUUAAGUGAAUGGGGAAAGUUUCUCUGUGGAUACCUCUUCUGCUUUUUAAUAAAUUCUUUCUUUUGCCUGAAGAGAAUUAGAAGCUGGCUUUUGACCUCCAUUAAUUUUUUUAAUUUAAUAGUUCUCUGCAUGCAUUAAUAAAUAUUAUUAACCAUACUUUGUACUGCAAUGUUUCCAUUUCCUCUUCCCCCGAUGCUUUCUCAUUUGCUGCA